Molecule: transfer RNA, 72 nt
Filed under: Chitinophagales bacterium
Lineage: Bacteria; Pseudomonadati; Bacteroidota; Chitinophagia; Chitinophagales
Description: tRNA-Asp
Rfam family: tRNA
About the family: Transfer RNA (tRNA) molecules are approximately 80 nucleotides in length. Their secondary structure includes four short double-helical elements and three loops (D, anti-codon, and T loops).
Source: RNAcentral
GGUCUAUUGGGGUAGUGGCUAUCCUUCCCGACUGUCUAUUGGGAGAAGUGGGUUCGAUUCCCACAUAGACCG